AUUCUCGGGGUACUCCACUAGCGGGGUUGAGAGAGUCCCAUUGAACCUGAUGCGGUUAAUACCGCCGUAGGAAAGAAGAAUAU
RNAcentral lists this non-coding RNA (83 nucleotides) under bovine gut metagenome. RNAcentral's name for it is "TPP riboswitch (THI element)". It matches the Rfam family "TPP riboswitch aptamer (THI element)", at positions 7 to 92 of the family's 105-position model. From Rfam's summary of the family: Vitamin B(1) in its active form thiamin pyrophosphate (TPP) is an essential coenzyme that is synthesised by coupling of pyrimidine and thiazole moieties in bacteria. The previously detected thiamin-regulatory element, thi box was extended, resulting in a new, highly conserved RNA secondary structure, the THI element, which is widely distributed in eubacteria and also occurs in some archaea. The record is from RNAcentral.